UUGGUAGCUUUUCAAUCUUGAUCUAAGCGCAGUUGAAAACGCAGUAUGAACACACAAAUGUGGGUCAGGAAUGGUGCAUACUCGUGACACCUUAUCUUCUAAAAAAAUCGAGGUGGUCUACCAGCAUUUUAAGGAUUAAGGUAGCGUCUUAUUAGAAGCCAAUGGAAAGCAAGGAUUUGUACAUCAUUAUUGUGAUCGCACCACCAAUUACUGCUUUUACUUCGCCUAAAACACCUUGUCUAAACUUGUUGUUUUUAGACAAGGUGUUUUGAAUACGACCUUAACCACUGCUUGCAAAAUUUACUUUCAGGGGUUUCUUCGUAUACCUACCAAUACUCUCUUGAAUUCUAACGCAAUUUUAUUGUAGCUUCAAAGUUACAAAAAGGCCUAACCUAGAUUUACCAGUAACAUAUUUGAUGCGUGAGUGAAGGAAUUUUUUAGGUGAAGGUAUUAUUGAGUGAAGGUAUUAUUUUAUCGUGUCUAAAAAUUCUGUGACUUUAAACUCUUUGGCUUCGUCUGAAAAAAGGUACCAACAAAGAGUUGCAGUGUGUAGCAAUAGCGGCUGUAUAACGAGAAAGAAUGCGAAACUUGACAUCCGAUGGGAAAAUAGGAAAUGGAACUAGCACAGGGAGUGACAUGCUUGUGUGCUGUGAGACGAACGGAUAUACCGUCGCAGGAGUCGCUAUCGCACUUGUCCUCUGGCUAAUGUUGUUCCUUGUGGUACUCAAAAACAUGGAUGCAAUAAAAAAACUUAAGAAAAAGAGAGGGAAGAAAGGCGAGCUCGAAGACCUGAAAGUCAGCACGCUGCCUGACGACGUAUAAGAGGGAAAAGGCGAUUGUUUGGGUCACUCACGACGGUAAUUUAGCAAUAGAAGAACUUUUGUUAGAUAAUGGGAGUUAGAAUACUAGCAGCCGUUUUUCCCCUUAGAAUUUUACCAUAUUCCAAGCCCUUUAAAACAAUAUGUUUAUCUCUCACAAGCAAAAAUAUAAAUAAAGAUGGCUGCCUGCAAACUCUGA
Nematostella vectensis (starlet sea anemone) is the source of this 1017-nucleotide long non-coding RNA. RefSeq lists it as uncharacterized. The record is from RefSeq and is a predicted model, not a curated record. NCBI's taxonomy places the organism in Eukaryota, Metazoa, Cnidaria, Anthozoa, Actiniaria, Edwardsiidae. The transcript is spliced from 3 exons.